This 1031-nucleotide long non-coding RNA is filed under the name Homo sapiens (human). RNAcentral describes it as "deleted in lymphocytic leukemia 1". Lineage: Eukaryota; Metazoa; Chordata; Mammalia; Primates; Hominidae. The record is from RNAcentral.
AGUGGGGUUUAAUCUGGACUGAAUUGGAGGAAAGGAACUGGCACCAGAGUGGAGGCUGGAAGGAUGGUGGAACUGACACUGGGACAGAACACAGAAAACAGAAUCUAAUGCUAUUGCUCUGGCUAUAUCAAAUAAAAGUGUCAAGAGUGAGCAUCCUUGCCUUGUGCUGAAUCACAAAGGAAUACCUUUCAGUUUUUCUCCAUUGAUUAUGAUAGCAGUGGGCUUUUCACAGUGGGCUUUACUGUGUUGAGGUACCCUAAUGACAAGUUCACCCCAGUGUUUUCUGAGGAGUCUACCUGGAAAUGAGAACCAUCUGUCCUUCCUAUAGUAGUUCUUCUCAGAAUGCCGACUCUAUGCUAAUGUGAACCUUCAGAAAGGGCAGAAAGGAAGUUUACUUCUGCCUCUACAAUGGAUUUGCCUACUUUAGACAUGUUUUCAAGAUUUAUCCACGUCAUGGCAUAUACCAGAACUUCAUUUCUUUUAUGAUUGAAUAAUAUUACAUGGUUUUAAUAUACUAUAUUUUGUUUAUCUGUUCAUCAAUUAAUAAAUCUUUGGGUUGUUUUCACUUUUAGGCUAUAAUAAUUAACGCUGUUAGGAAUAUUUACUUGUAAGUUUUUGUUAUAUGUUUUUAAUUCUCCUGGGUAGAUACUUAGGGAUAAAAUUGCUGAAUUAGAUUGUAACUUUAUGUUUAGAAACUGCCCAACUGUUUUCCAAAGUAACUAUCAUUUUAAUAUUUCACCAGCAUUGUAUGACAGUUCUGGUCUUUCCUUAUUUAAACUAAUACUUAAUUGUUGCCUUUUAUUGUAGCUAUCCUAGUAGAUAUGAAGUGUUAUCUCAUUAUGGUUUUGAUUUGCAUUCUCUAAUGACUAAUAAUAUCAAGCAUCUUUUCAUGUGUAUACAAGAUAUUUGUAUAUCUUCUUUAGAGAAAUGUCUACUCAAAUCCUGUGCCUAUGUUUUAAUUGGAUAAUUUAUGUUUUUAUUGUUGAGUUGUAAUAGUUUUUAAAUAUAUUCUGGAUCCUAGACCUUUAACA